RNAcentral lists this ribosomal RNA (406 nucleotides) under uncultured bacterium. Its description in RNAcentral is "partial 16S ribosomal RNA". It matches the Rfam family "Bacterial small subunit ribosomal RNA", at positions 30 to 526 of the family's 1533-position model. The record is from RNAcentral.
AUUGAACGCUGGCGGCAGGCCUAACACAUGCAAGUCGAACGAGUGGCGGACGGGUGAGUAAUGUCUGGGAAACUGCCUGAUGGAGGGGGCUAACUACUGGAAACGGUAGCUAAUACCGCAUACCAUCGGAUGUGCACAGAUGGGAUUAGCUAGUAGGUGGGGUAAAGGCUCACCUAGGCGACGAUCCCUAGCUGGUCUUAUAGGAUGACCAGCCACACUGGGACGGAGACACGGGCCAGACUCCUACGGGAGGCAGCAGUGGGGAAUAUUGCACAAUGGGCGCAAGCCUGAUGCAGCCAUGCCGCGUGUAUGAAGAAGGCCGUCGGGUUGUAAAGUACUUUCAGCGGGGAGGCGUUACCCGCAGAAGAAGCACCGGCUAACUCCGUGCCAGCAGCCGCGGUAAUAC